Maylandia zebra (zebra mbuna) is the source of this 168-nucleotide non-coding RNA. The record is from RefSeq and is a predicted model, not a curated record. Lineage: Eukaryota; Metazoa; Chordata; Actinopteri; Cichliformes; Cichlidae.
AUUUAAUUCAGAGAAAGUUGUUUCUUAAAAGUAUCUGUAAAGUGCUCAUUUCUGCCUCAAAGCAUGGGUCAGCCAGCGAGUUCGACGGUGGCGUAGUUUGUGAUCAAGGUGAAGCUGUAACAACCCCAAGAUCUUACAACUAACAUUAAAGCCAACUUCAUGCCAUCA